UACCAAGUUGGGAGGGAUAAUGUUCGAUGCUGUUUCUCUGUAUCUCCUGUUACUGCUGUUCGCAGCUGGCUGCAAGAGCACCUUAAUCUUCCAGUCGGAGAACAUAUUGUCUGUUGGAGAAGGGAAGACGGCGGAGAUGCACUGUUACCAAAAUGAUACUAACCAUAACUACAUGUACUGGUACCGUCAGCUAAGGGGAGCACGCCUGCAGCUCAUAGCAACCUCGAUUGGUACUGCAGCACCCACGUUCGAAGAGGAUUUCAAGGCAAGAUUUGAAGGCACCAGGCAUGAUCUUAAAUCAUGCAGUUUAAAAAUCCUUCAGCUGCAGACGUCUGAUACCGCACUUUAUUACUGUGCUGCCAGUGAACACAGCAAUACAAACAAGUGCAGGUCUGUUGCUAAAACCGAGCAAGCAGAUGUAAGCAGAUGGAUUGGGAACCUCGAGUUCACAACGAUCAUAAUUGCACCCACUCCUCACUAA
Molecule: non-coding RNA, 481 nt
Organism: Hemiscyllium ocellatum (epaulette shark)
Lineage: Eukaryota; Metazoa; Chordata; Chondrichthyes; Orectolobiformes; Hemiscylliidae
Source: the annotation of a RefSeq genome assembly